This 467-nucleotide ribosomal RNA is filed under the name uncultured bacterium. Its description in RNAcentral is "partial 16S ribosomal RNA". It matches the Rfam family "Bacterial small subunit ribosomal RNA", at positions 28 to 507 of the family's 1533-position model. The record is from RNAcentral.
GACGAACGCUGGCGGCGUGCUUAACACAUGCAAGUCGAACGGAAAGGCCCUGCUUUUGUGGGGUGCUCGAGUGGCGAACGGGUGAGUAACACGUGAGUAACCUGCCCUUGACUUUGGAAUACCUUCGGAAAAUGGGGGCUAUAACCGGUAGGAACCCCUGCCUCCAGGGGGGGGGUGGGAAGUUUCGGCGGUUGGGGAUGGACUCGCGGCUUAUCAGCUUGUUGGUGGGGUAGUGGCUUACCAAGGCUUUGACGGGUAGCCGGCCUGAGAGGGUGACCGGCCACAUUGGGACUGAGAUACGGCCCAGACUCCUACGGGAGGCAGCAGUGGGGAAUAUUGCACAAUGGGCGGAAGCCUGAUGCAGCAACGCCGCGUGCGGGAUGACGGCCUUCGGGUUGUAAACCGCUUUCGCCUGUGACGAAGCGUGAGUGACGGUAAUGGGUAAAGAAGCACCGGCUAACUACGUG